GGAAAAGAAACCAACAGGGAUUGCCCUAGUAACGGCGAGUGAAGCGGCAACAGCUCAAAUUUGAAAUCUGGCCCCAGGCCCGAGUUGUAAUUUGCAGAGGAUGCUUUUGGCAAAGCGCUUACCGAGUCCCCUGGAACGGGGCGCCACAGAGGGUGAGAGCCCCGUAUGGUAGGACGCCGAGCCUCUGUAAAGCUCCUUCGACGAGUCGAGUAGUUUGGGAAUGCUGCUCUAAAUGGGAGGUAAAUUUCUUCUAAAGCUAAAUACCGGCCAGAGACCGAUAGCGCACAAGUAGAGUGAUCGAAAGAUGAAAAGCACUUUGAAAAGAGGGUUAAAUAGCACGUGAAAUUGUUGAAAGGGAAGCGCUCGUGACCAGACUUGCGCCGGGCGGAUCAUCCAGCGUUCUCGCUGGUGCACUCCGCCCGGCUCAGGCCAGCAUCGGUUUUUGCCGGGGGACAAAAGCUUCGGGAACGUGGCUCCCUUCGGGGAGUGUUAUAGCCCGUUGCUUAAUACCCCGGCGGGGACCGAGGACCGCGCUUCGGCAAGGAUGCUGGCGUAAUGGUCAUCAGCGACCCGUCUUGAAACACGGACCGAGGAGUCAAGCAUUAGUGCGAGUGUUUGGGUGUAAAACCCGCACGCGUAAUGAAAGUGAACGUAGGUGAGAGCUUCGGCGCAUCAUCGACCGAUCCUGAUGUUUUCGGAUGGAUUUGAGUAGGAGCAUUAACGCUUGGACCCGAAAGAUGGUGAACUAUACUUGAAUAGGGUGAAGCCAGAGGAAACUCUGGUGGAGGCUCGCAGCGGUUCUGACGUGCAAAUCGAUCGUCAAAUUUGAGUAUAGGGGCGAAAGACUAAUCGAACCAUCUAGUAGCUGGUUACCGC
RNAcentral lists this ribosomal RNA (876 nucleotides) under Gaeumannomyces avenae. RNAcentral's name for it is "eukaryotic LSU rRNA". It matches the Rfam family "Eukaryotic large subunit ribosomal RNA", at positions 55 to 961 of the family's 3401-position model. Lineage: Eukaryota; Fungi; Ascomycota; Sordariomycetes; Magnaporthales; Magnaporthaceae. The record is from RNAcentral.